UACGUAGGGUGCGAGCGUUAAUCGGAAUUACUGGGCGUAAAGCGUGCGCAGGCGGCUUUGCAAGACAGAUGUGAAAUCCCCGGGCUUAACCUGGGAACUGCAUUUGUGACUGCAUGGCUAGAGUGCGGCAGAGGGGGAUGGAAUUCCGCGUGUAGCAGUGAAAUGCGUAGAGAUGUGGAGGAACACCGAUGGCGAAGGCAGCCUCCUGGGCCAGCACUGACGCUCAUGCACGAAAGCGUGGGGAGCAAACAGG
RNAcentral lists this ribosomal RNA (253 nucleotides) under uncultured bacterium. Its description in RNAcentral is "partial 16S ribosomal RNA". It matches the Rfam family "Bacterial small subunit ribosomal RNA", at positions 524 to 776 of the family's 1533-position model. The record is from RNAcentral.